AGAGUUUGAUCCUGGCUCAGAAUCAACGCUGGCGGCGUGCCUCAGACAUGCAAGUCGAACGAGAAAGUCCCCUUCGGGGGGUGAGUAAAGUGGCGCACGGGUGAGUAACACGUAGGUAAUCUACCUUCGGGUGGGGAAUAACCCAGGGAAACUUGGGCUAACACCGCAUAAUGCAGCGGCACCACAUGGUGACAGUUGUUAAAGCGGGGGAUUUUAGGACCUCGCGCCUGAAGAGGAGCCUGCGGCGGAUUAGCUAGUUGGUAAGGUAACGGCUUACCAAGGCGACGAUCCGUAACCGGCCUGAGAGGGCGGUCGGUCACACUGACACUGACAUACGGGUCAGACUCCUACGGGAGGCAGCAGUCGGGAAUUUUGGGCAAUGGGCGAAAGCCUGACCCAGCAACGCCGCGUGAAGGAUGAAAUCCCUCGGGAUGUAAACUUCGCAAGAUUGGGAAGAAUUAGUAGGGGUUAAUACCCUCUAUGAUGACGGUACCUUUUGUAAGCUCCGGCUAACUCCGUACCAGCAGCCGCGGUAAUACGGGGGGAGCAAGCGUUGUUCGGAUUUACUGGGCGUAAAGGGCGCGUAGGCGGUCAGCACAAGUCAGUUGUGAAAUCUCCGGGCUUAACUCGGAAA
RNAcentral lists this ribosomal RNA (634 nucleotides) under uncultured Acidobacterium sp. Its description in RNAcentral is "bacterial SSU rRNA". It matches the Rfam family "Bacterial small subunit ribosomal RNA", at positions 8 to 620 of the family's 1533-position model. Lineage: Bacteria; Pseudomonadati; Acidobacteriota; Terriglobia; Terriglobales; Acidobacteriaceae. The record is from RNAcentral.